This 406-nucleotide ribosomal RNA is filed under the name uncultured bacterium. RNAcentral describes it as "partial 16S ribosomal RNA". It matches the Rfam family "Bacterial small subunit ribosomal RNA", at positions 30 to 526 of the family's 1533-position model. The record is from RNAcentral.
AUUGAACGCUGGCGGCAGGCCUAACACAUGCAAGUCGAACGAGUGGCGGACGGGUGAGUAAUGUCUGGGAAACUGCCUGAUGGAGGGGGAUAACUACUGGCAACGGUAGCUAAUAACGCAUACCAUAAGAUGAGCCAAGAUGGGAUUAGCUUGUUGGUGGGGUAACGGCUCACCAGCGCGACGAUCCCUAGCUGGUCUGAGAGGAUGACCAGCCACACGGGAACAGGGACACGGGCCAGAAGCCUACGGUAGGCAGCAGUGGGGAAUAUUGCACAAUGGGCGCAUGCCUGAUGCAGCCAUGCCGCGUGUAUGAAGAAGGCCUUCGGGUUGUAGAGUACUUUCAGCGGGGAGGCGUUACCCGCAGAAGAAGCACCGGCUAACUCCGUGCCAGCAGCCGCGGUAAUUC